Molecule: ribosomal RNA, 562 nt
Filed under: uncultured fungus
Lineage: Eukaryota; Fungi
Description: bacterial SSU rRNA
Rfam family: Eukaryotic small subunit ribosomal RNA
Source: RNAcentral
GGAAGGGGUGUAUUUAUUAGAUAAAAAACCAAUGCCCUUCGGCGCUCCUUUGGAGUUUCAUAAUAACUUCUCAAAUCACGGGCUCGUGCCCUGGAUAGGCUUCUUUCAUUUAUCUGCCCUAUCAUUUUUCUAGGGAAAGAUAGACGUCUACCGUGCUUUCAACGGAUAACGGAAAAUAAGGGCUCUAUUCCAGAGAGAGACCCAGAAAAACGGAUACCACCUCCAGAGAGGGCAGCGGGCGCGCAUUUUCCCCUGUCCCUACACGGGGAGGUAGUGACUAUAAAUAGCAACAGGGGGCCCUUUUGGGUCUUAUAAUUGGAAUGAGUACUCUUAAAUCCCUUAACGAAAAACAUUUGAGGGGGCAAGUGGGGUGCCAGCACCCGCGGUAUUUCCCUCUCCAAUAGCGUAUAUUAAAGUUGUUGCAGUUAAAAAGCUCGUAUUUGAACUGGAACCUGGCUGGAUGGUCUGCCUAACGAGUAUGUACUGUUCCGGCUGGGCCUUUCCUUCUUGGUGAGCCCGGCAUGCCCUUCNGGGGGUGUGGGGGAAAACCAGACACUUUUAC